AUGUUAUAGCUUAAUUUCUAUUUAGAACCAUAUUAAAUACAAAUAAAGCAGCUUUAGCGGCGCUAGAAAUAGCGAGUAUAAUGAAACCACAAUAUGACACAUGGGCCGCCCGCUUGACAUCGCAUUAAGUAGCAGCAAUUGUCUUGACACCAGCAUUGUGAGCCUCGCUACCGAAGCCUCAUACUAAGCCCAAAUAGCACAGAAUAGUGUGUGCAGUGAUACGGUGAAGACACCCAACCUCCGUGUUCGACAACUCCGCAUGAUUUGUGUGGCACGAGAAAUUAAUCACCAUUGACGGUAAAAUAAACACCGUCAGUUAGCCAACAACGGACGACUUGUUCGGAGACGAUCGCCACGGGUGCAAACAAUACUGGUCGACAUUUAGAUUAGUGGCACCAUUCGAUUUUCAUCCAAUCUCAAAGGUAUAUUACACGGCUGGCUACUGCAUCACCCAUAUUCUCAUAGUCUGUAUAGUGUUACAGCAAUUGCACGUGGCUUUACCAGAACGCAUAGGUUUUGCAUGUGGGAUCGCAUGUAUCACUAGGUAAGCCAUACUCGAUGCGAGAGCGUGCAUUCCACUGACCUUGACUUAACCUUUUAGUACACGACUGCAUCGAUAGACGAGGGCAUUAUCAUUGCAAAGCGCACAGAAAGGCCUUCGCACAAUCAGAAGGCCUUUCUUCCCUUUGCUAAAUUCGCAGCAUCACAGACUGAGUCACGUGGCUUGCGAGCGGAGCUCAGCAGCACACACGAAAGAACCGGCACAUAUCGACUGU
Long non-coding RNA from Armigeres subalbatus, 776 nucleotides. RefSeq lists it as uncharacterized. The record is from RefSeq and is a predicted model, not a curated record. NCBI's taxonomy places the organism in Eukaryota, Metazoa, Arthropoda, Insecta, Diptera, Culicidae. The transcript is spliced from 3 exons.